AGUUAUUGGCGUAGGGUACAGAGGUAAGAUGUUCUAUCUUUCAGACCUUUUACUUCACGUAAUCGGAUUUAUAGCUGAAUAUUAGCUGCCCCAGUCAGUUUUGACUGGGGCAUUUUUUU
Molecule: non-coding RNA, 119 nt
Filed under: Photorhabdus khanii NC19
Lineage: Bacteria; Pseudomonadati; Pseudomonadota; Gammaproteobacteria; Enterobacterales; Morganellaceae
Source: RNAcentral